This 381-nucleotide ribosomal RNA is filed under the name uncultured eukaryote. RNAcentral describes it as "partial 18S ribosomal RNA". It matches the Rfam family "Eukaryotic small subunit ribosomal RNA", at positions 592 to 976 of the family's 1831-position model. The record is from RNAcentral.
CAAUAGCGUAUAUUAAAGCUGUUGCGGUUAAAAAGCUCGUAGUUGGAUUUCUGUCAAGGACAACUGGUCCGCCCCUCGGGUGAGCACAUAGUUUGGUCUUGGCAUCUUGUUGGAAACUGUUGCUGCACUUGGUUGUGUGGCGCAGUGUCCAGCACUUUCACUUUGAGGAAAUUGGAGUGUUUCAAGCAGGCACAUGCCUUUGGACACAGUAGCAUGGAAUAAUUAGAUUGGGCUUUUGCUCCAACUUGUCGGUUUCUGGAGCUGAGGUGAGAAUUAAUGGGGAUUGUUGGAGGCAUCCGAAUUUAGCCGUCAGAGGUGAAAUUCUUGGAUCUGCUAAAGACGGACAACUGCGAAAGCGUUUGCCCAGGAUGUUUUCAUUGA